GAUGAAGAACGUAGCGAAAUGCGAUACGUAAUGUGAAUUGCAGAAUUCAGUGAAUCAUCGAAUCUUUGAACGCACAUUGCGCCUGCCAGCACUCUGGCAGGCAUGCCUGUUCGAGCGUCAUUUCAACCAUCAAGCCCUAGGCUUGCGUUGGAGCCCUGCGGCUGCCGCAGGCCCCUAAAAGCAGUGGCGGGCUCGCUAUCACACCGAGUGCAGUAGAUUACUCUUCGCUCAGGGCGUGUGGCGGGUUCCAGCCGUGAAACCCCCUACUUCUCAAGGUUGACCUCGGAUCAGGUAGGAAGACCCGCUGAACUUAAGCAUAUCAAUAAGCGGAGGA
This 334-nucleotide unclassified non-coding RNA is filed under the name soil metagenome. Its description in RNAcentral is "partial contains 5.8S ribosomal RNA, internal transcribed spacer 2, and large subunit ribosomal RNA". The stretch from base 1 to 120 matches the Rfam family "5.8S ribosomal RNA", at positions 35 to 154 of the family's 154-position model. The record is from RNAcentral.